Molecule: ribosomal RNA, 451 nt
Filed under: uncultured bacterium
Lineage: Bacteria
Description: partial 16S ribosomal RNA
Rfam family: Bacterial small subunit ribosomal RNA
Source: RNAcentral
AACGAACGCUGGCGGCAGGCCUAAUACAUGCAAGUCGAACGGAUGUAGCAAUACAUUAGUGGCGCACGGGUGCCUAACGCGUGGGAACAUACCCUUGAGUAAGGAAUAAUGUCUGGAAACGGACACUAAUACCUUAUAAUGACUUCGGUCCAAAGAUUUAUCGCUCAAGGAUUGGCCCGCGUCUGAUUAGCUAGUUGGUGAGGUAACGGCUCACCAAGGCGACGAUCAGUAGCUGGUCUGAGAGGAUGAUCAGCCACACUGGGACUGAGACACGGCCCAGACUCCUACGGGAGGCAGCAGUAAGGAAUAUUGGACAAUGGGGGAAACCCUGAUCCAGCCAUGCCGCGUGAGUGAAGAAGGCCUUAGGGUUGUAAAGCUCUUUCAAUAGUGAAGAUAAUGACGGUAGCUAUAGAAGAAGCCCCGGCUAAAUUCGUGCCAGCAGCCGCCGUAA